GUGAGGAAUAUUGGUCAAUGGACGAGAGUCUGAACCAGCCAAGUCGCGUGAAGGAAGACGGUUCUAUGAAUUGUAAACUUCUUUUGUGCAGGAAUAAAGUGGGUUACGUGUAACCUUUUGUAUGUACUGUACGAAUAAGGAUCGGCUAACUCCGUGCCAGCAGCCGCGGUAAUACGGAGGAUCCGAGCGUUAUCCGGAUUUAUUGGGUUUAAAGGGUGCGUAGGUGGAUUGAUAAGUCAGCGGUGAAAGUUUGCAGCUUAACUGUAAAAUUGCCGAUGAAACUGUCGGUCUUGAGUGCAAAUGAGGUAGGCGGAAUGUGUUGUGUAGCGGUGAAAUGCUUAGAUAUAACACAGAACUCCGAUUGCGAAGGCAGCUUACUGGGAUGCAACUGACACUGAUGCACGAAAGCGUGGGUAUCAAACAGGAUUAGAAACCCGGGUAGUCC
RNAcentral lists this ribosomal RNA (445 nucleotides) under uncultured bacterium. RNAcentral's name for it is "partial 16S ribosomal RNA". It matches the Rfam family "Bacterial small subunit ribosomal RNA", at positions 354 to 796 of the family's 1533-position model. The record is from RNAcentral.